GUCUCUGACCAAAUCACCCACAAUGCACCCGAUCUCGUCAUAUAUCUCAGAAGUUAAGCAGGUAUGGGCCUGGAUAGUGCUUGGAUUCGUGACUGCCACAUACACCAGGUUGCUAUCGGCU
This 121-nucleotide ribosomal RNA is filed under the name Petromyzon marinus (sea lamprey). Lineage: Eukaryota; Metazoa; Chordata; Hyperoartia; Petromyzontiformes; Petromyzontidae. The record is from RNAcentral.